This is a non-coding RNA of Caerostris extrusa, 90 nucleotides long. The record is from the annotation of a GenBank genome assembly. NCBI's taxonomy places the organism in Eukaryota, Metazoa, Arthropoda, Arachnida, Araneae, Araneidae.
UGCCGGUUCUCGUUAGAUCACCGAAGUCAAGCAUCAUUGGGCGCGGUCAGUACUUGGGUGUAUGACCACCUAGGAACACCGCGUGCCGUU